Non-coding RNA from Podarcis lilfordi (Lilford's wall lizard), 275 nucleotides. Lineage: Eukaryota; Metazoa; Chordata; Lepidosauria; Squamata; Lacertidae. The record is from the annotation of a GenBank genome assembly.
GGAUGUGAGGGUGAUACUGGCUGCAACAUCUGUCACUCCAUUGAUCACUAGGAUUGAUUCAGCUGAUCUGGCUAGCUUGUCGGGUGUCCCUCACCGCUCCAUGUCCAUCCUUCCCUACUAUAAUACAUUUUUUAAUGUUAUGUUCACUAAUACAUUGAUUUUUCAUGCAUGCUUUUUCUAACAUAUGCGCUUUUAUAAGCACUGUUCAGUUGGAGAACUGCAUCACAAAAUUCAGAUAAGAGCGAAUUUUGAAAGAUGACUACAUUUCUCUUCUU